GCAAUGCUUCAGAUUGUUGACCUAGCUUUCAACAAUUUCAGUGGUAAAUUGCCAGCAACAUGCUUCUCGACCUGGACAGCAAUGAUGGCUGGUGAAAAUGAAGUCCAAUCCAAGCUCAAACACCUGCAAUUUAGGGUUCUACAAUUCAGUCAAUUGUACUAUCAGGAUGCUGUAACAGUUACCAGCAAAGGUCUAGAAAUGGAGUUGGUGAAGGUCCUAACUCUCUACACCUCUAUUGACUUGUCGUGCAACAAUUUUCAAGGGGACAUACCAGAAGUGAUGGGGAACUUCACAUCGCUCUAUGUUCUCAACUUAUCGCAUAAUGGUUUCACAGGCCAUAUCCCAUCGUCAAUAGGGAAUCUGCGACAACUUGAGUCAUUAGACCUCUCGCAAAACAGGCUGAGUGGAGAGAUACCCACACAGCUUGCGAACCUAAAUUUCCUUUCAGUCCUGAACCUCUCAUUCAAUCAAUUGGUGGGAAGGAUCCCACCAGGUAAUCAAAUGCAAACAUUUUCAGAAACUUCUUAUGAAGGGAAUAAAGAACUGUGUGGGUGGCCUCUGGAUCUAAGUUGCACUGAUCCACCACCAGAAUUUGAUGACAGGCACUCAGGUUCCAGGAUGGAGAUUAAGUGGGAAUACAUAGCUCCUGAAAUUGGAUUUGUGACAGGAUUGGGAAUCGUGAUUUGGCCUCUAGUGUUGUGCAGGAGAUGGAGGAAAUGCUACUACAAACAUGUUGAUAGAAUUCUUUCAAGGAUUCUCCAAGGAAGAGCAAGUGGUGGAAGAAGAGCUCACAGAAUUCGCCUCCGGAGGCGGAGAAUGUAGCCGUGGUGCAGAGGGAUGAAGUGAUUAGUCAAGAGUCCAUUUCCAUUAAUCCAAUCCUAUGUUUCAUUGAAGGAAUAUUAAAAAGGGGUCAUAUUAUUGGAUGGGCCUUCAGUCCGUGUGUCAAAUGUAAUUCUGGCUUGCUUCUUAUAAAUUUAAUCGAAUGCAUAAUUUUAUAUUUGGACAAUGUCAUGGUGAAGUAGAUUUUCAAAGUAACAUUAUUCUUACCUUUUAGUGAUGCGAGUAUCAAUGUGCUUCUCUAAAAUAUUAUACUAAUAAAGAAUUUAAGUUGUAAAACCACUUCAUGAAAGCUUUUCUACAAAAGCAUCAAAUCUUAAAUUUGGCCAAAAAACUUUUUAACCUUCAUAUGUUUAGUCAAUAAAAGCCCUUUUGACCAAUGUAAGGAUUUUUAAAUAUUAAAAAAUUUAGCCAAGUAAAAAAUAUAACAUGUUAAAUUUAAGAAAUUUGGAAACUCUUCUUCUUCAGGGAAGGAAUUCAAGCUGAGCAGGAGAUGGUCUAGGAUAUGUUGGCUGGAUGUGGGCCAGAGUUGGGUUAAACUUGGUUGGCUGGAUUUCGGUCAUUAAUGAAAUAUGGGCCUGAUUGGCACAAACGAAGAGCAGCUGAGGUAGCUAGGACCAUAUUCAGCCCAAUCAACACAUCUCAAGCCAUAAGGGAUAUAACAUUGAUAAGCAAGUAACUAUCAUACUAGGUAGUAAGGUGGCUGCCCAUCUACUUAUAAAAGUUUCAUCCUCUUACAGGCUUUCACAUUAAAUUUGGAAAUGAUUCUCACUUUAUUUUAUUUUUUACCACAUUUUUUUAUUAUCUUGUUAAUUUAUGGGAAGAAAAAAAUUUAUCAAUUUUUUUUAUAGUCCAUUGUUCCAAUGAAAUGAUUAAACAAUGAUAAGAGUAUGAGAUUUUCAAAAGUAGAAGGUCAAUCGAUAUAACUUGUAAAUUUUUAGAUUUUAAUGGAAUUUGAAAACUACUAAUAUUAUCAUGCAAGUGAAAUAACAACAUGAACUUGAAAAAUUAAUCCCAAAACCAUCUCUAAAAUUAUCAAUAUCCUGGCCCAACUUCACAUUCAACUUGAAUAUCUCUAAACAAGUUCAAUCCUUUCUGUUUUUCAAUUUUCUUUCACUUUUUUUUUCUUUCUAGAAUUAGACUCUUUAUGGGUACCACGAAAAAGAUUACUAGCUAGGAAUGUAAAGCAUGGUUUUUAAGAAUGAUAAGUGCUCAUAUAUAUUUUGAAUCAAAUUUAAGAGAAAGUUCCUUACAAUGAAUUGAUUUUCACUUAACUACUCAUAUUUCUAGUAUGAUACAAGGAAUCCAUAUAAUCCAAAUCAUAAAUCCAAAUAAGAACUUUAUGUCUAUGGGAAAUCUAAUCAAAGGUCUAAUUGAAGCCAUCUAAAUUUAUCAUUUGAUAUUUAAGCUCUAAUUGAAUCCAUUAGAAUUGUUAUUUGAAUUUUAGACAUAUUAGACAUCAUUUAGACUUCUUUUAGAUAAUUCGUAUAUCUUGUUUUCCAGGAAAUUUGAUUUCUUUGUCCAAACUUGAUGUUUUUGAACAUAAUUUCAAAUUUAAUUAGAAACAAAUGUCUCAAUUUUUUUUCAAAUAAUCAUCUUUUCCAUUCUAAUAUCUUACAUGAUGAUUUGUAGAAGUUGAAACUCGAUGACCUUUUUACCAAGAUCCUUGUUACCUUGCACUAUAAUGUUUAGUAGAUAAGCUUUUAGUUUUCUAGUGACAUAAAUGUUGGAGAUUAGUAGAGAAUGAAAAUCUUCCAAACUUAGAUUUUAUUGAUACUCAAUGUGUAUGUGGAUUGCAUUAGAGUAAAACCAACCAAACACACUAAGAAAUAAGCUACUAGGAAAAAAAUAAUAAAAAUUAUAUUAGAAAAAAAAAUCCAUAUGCAUUCGUAUAUAACGGAGCUUACAACCAAUCUACAAAGAUAAAUAAAAUAUUCGUAUACAAACGGAUUUUUCACUAGCCGUUGGAGGAUUUAAUGCUUGGCAGGUGAUCGUUAUCCUCUACCGGACAUCGAUCAAGAAGGCAAAUACCUCGACCAGGAAGGAAAGGCUACUAGAAGAGAGAGAGAGAGAGAGAGUGUUUUUUGCUCAUCUCAACUAGAUCUCAAUCAAGAAGGAGUAACCGGUCAACCAGUACCCUGGUCGGUUGAGCCGGUUUGGCUAGUGUCUCGACUGGUUCACCAUUUUUGGCCCAAAAACCUAUAUUUUCUUUGUUAUUUUCUCUUCUAACACUUAGGUAAGGUAUUUAGGCAAAUUAAUUUGCCAAUUUUGAAAUGAUUUGCCUAAGGUUCAUUUGAUAAAACUCGGGUUUUGAUGGAAAUGUAACUUUAAAGCAUAAACUAAGUUUUUCAAAUAUGCAUGAAAUGAUACGUAAAUCCUAAGUGCACCCAUGCAUUCAUCUUACAUAUGUUUCCUAUGAUUAAAGGUCUUCCAAAAGUCUUAAUCUUGCAUCCAUUAGGUCAUUUGAUGAAUUUCCAAACUGACAUCUGAAAUUGUUUAUAAUUCAAACCAAUUAGUAACUUAACCAUGAUUUGUUAUUAUCAAAAUAUGAUUAGGAGAACCCUUGGGCUAACAAUCUCCCCUUUUUUUAUGAUGACAAACCUUGGUUAUCUAAGAGAAGAAGAAUCUCCUCCUCAAACCAAUCAUGGAUCAACAAUCAAAAUUUACGAAGUUAAAACCAAGAUAAUCAAGACAUACUAGAGAGAAUUUGCAAUAAGAAACAAUGUAAGUGAUCAAACAUAUAAGAAUAUCAUAUAUAAGUCAAUGUAUCAAUAUCCAGUAUAUACGAUCCAAGUGAUAUGAAAAUGAUAUGCAUGUAAGUCUUCUAUAGUCUCAUAGAUCCUAAAAUAUCUCCCCCUUUUGGCAACAUAAAAAAGGAACAAAUAGGGUCUCGAAGGAAUCAAGGAUGAGGAAGUGGAGGUGGAAACACAGAGCGUAGAUAAGCCAUCAUAUUCUCAUGUUGACUCUCCAAACGAUCCUUAAUACGCUCAAUCCCCUGUUGGAGAUACUCAAACUGUGAAGUGAAGCCAGUCUGAUACUGAUCCAUGCAAUCCUCCAUGGAGUAGAACCGUGUGUCACUGACUAUAGCAAGCUCCUCCAUAUGAGUGCUUAGAGAGCUAAUCUAAGCAGAUAAAUCCAUCCAUGGAGCAUGGUCAGGAGCGAGAGGUGUUUGAGCAAGUGGUAUCUCAAAAUGUGUAGCCUUAGUGAAUGCAAGUUCAGAGGAAGACUCAGUGAAUGAUGACUGAGUAGAUGGACCCGCUAUAAAAGUUGGCUCAAACAUCAUCGGCUCAGAGAAGGUAGUCUCAAACUGAACACCCAUUGACUAGAGUGGAGAAAUGUCAAGCUCGGGCUCUCUUUGUUGAUAGCCACUCUAAGGGUUUACUUCACACUCCAUCUUUUUAAUCUCUACCUCCUCCUUAACUCUGGGAUGUGCCUGUCCCUAUCCCCGAGCCUAUGUCGGUGCUCUCUUUGCUUUCCUGACCUAAGAACCAUUUGGGGCUUUCUCAAAUUUCAUCUUCCCCAUGGACUGAUCAUCAUACGUAUCAUAAGCGUUGGUGGCCUCAAAGUUUGUCUCUCUGCUCAAGUCAACGCCGACAUCCUUGCACAUUCUAGUAAGGAAGCGACCAUAGGGGAGUACGCGAGUCGUGCUCUCGCAACAUGAGAUCAAGUUCAUCAUCAUCAAGUACCCUAAGUGGAUCCGUCUUCCAGUCAAAAUAGAGUCAAUAAGGAAUGCCUCAUAAUAAGAGACCUCGUCUCGGUGUCCACCCUGUGCAUAUGAUGUAGCACUCUACUGAUGACCAUCAGGUUGUGUGCUGAGGGUUUGUCCAUCCCGUGGGCAUCUACAAGUUCACAAAUCCUCUUAAUGGCCUCUCUAGGCUCAAAUCUUGGCACAAUGGGCCACAUUUUGGACUCAUAUACUUUGAGUCCAACUGGAGCAAUAUCGAAAAUACGAUAAAUGCUCUUUGGGUCUAAACGAAUCUUGACGCCUUUGACAGUAGAAAUGAUCGGGCCACCUGAUGAGAAUCAACAAGCAUUCGAGGAUCCAUUGUAUCUUCCAGUUGGGCCUAUUACUAAAGCAAGAUCCAAGAAUAUCAAAGAAGCAAUUAAUGGGCUAAUUCAAGAGAUUUGGGUUGAUUCUAACGUAGGACAUUCCAAGCUUGGCCCAAAGGAAGAUGAAGGUGUAAUAAAUUUAAUCGAAGCUAUUGAGGGCUAAUCUGACUUGAUUGGACGUUAUUUAUGGUGUGGAUUAAUGACUGAUUGACUUUCCAACUCCAUAUCAAUUAAUAGACAUUUUUACUAUUCUAGAGCUUCUAAUUUUAGGCUAAAUCUACCUUAAUUUUAGGCUUUUAUUAUUUAGAACAAUUUUUAGCUAUUUUCCUAUUUUGGAUCUGCUAAUUUCAGACCAAAUCAACUUUUAUUUAGGGUUUUAAUAUUUAGUAAGUUUUUAUUUCAUGACAUAUAAAUAGCAUGCACUCAUUGUAAUAUGGGAUAAUUUGAUUGAAUAAAAAAUCAGAAAAUGUGAGGCUUUACUCUUCUUUUGGUUCUUUAAGGACUGUGAACUUAUCAGGGAUUCUUCCUUGUGGCGUUCAAACUUUAUACUUUCGGUUCAUGAUUCCAUUGUAAUCAUUGGGUCAAGGUUUGUUACUUAUACUUUUGGUUCACGUUUCACUUAUAAAAGUUGGGUCAGGGUUCUAUCAAAAAUCUGUAUUUUAGUUUUCUUAGGCAAUUAUUCCAAUACUGUUUGUUGGGUCUCAAAGUGUGUCGAUUGAGGUUCGCAUCAUUUGGUAUUAGAGCUCAGGUUCUAAAAUCAGUCGAUUGAGGUUCGCAUCACCACCCAUGCCAUAAGUCGCCUUUGAGUAAAAAUCUCACACCAAAGUCGAGAAAAUCGGCUCCAAAACAAUGACCAUAGGUAAUCAACCCAUCCUAGUGAAUAGACCCUCGAAUCCGAAGUGCUCAAGUUGGGGAAAAUUAAUAUUUCUCCUCGGAACUACUUGUCCCAAAGCAAAGUGAUGUUUGUACCGUUGGUAGUCCUCCACGGAGUUGAACAAGGUAGUGUCAAACCUUGCCUUUCGGGUUUGACAAGGUGCCAAAAGCUUGAAUCCUAAAUCCUUAAGAGGGUUUAUAUAGGAUUUCCUAUGGACUUAAGUGACUUGAGCCCAAAUUUGGCUUGAGUCACCUGAUCUAGCCCACUUGGGUCCUAAUUAAUUUAUUAUUUUAAUGGACUCCAAUUAAUUAAUUAGCUCAAAACACCAAUCUAGAAAUAUUGUUCAUAAGAUCUUGUGCAACCUUGUAUUUUUACUAAAACACCCUUAUGUGCCCUUAUGAACUACAAAUCUAAAUCUCUCAAAUAAAACAUGUCACCAUGAACUAUGAGCUCAAGCGGGGACCAUUGGGACCCAUAAGAUUAUAUUGGCUCCCUCAUAAUUGAAUUCUAAAAUUGAUUCGAGAAUCCACUAAAGAGAAUCAAUUGUACUUCAGUAUCCUACAUUAAGACAAAGCUUAGGUUUGUAACCUACUAUUCAUUGCAUGCAAGCUCCUCAUGAAUUAGUGUCUGUAAUCUAAUAAGGUAGUGUUGUCAACCUAUCAAGAUUAGCUCUUUAAUCUUUAAGUUAUAAAUCCUCCUAUUAUGUGAUCAAUUGACAUACUCUAGCUUGUAAAGAACAUAUAUCAAAAUUCACUUAAAGAAUUCCUACAAUCACAUAUUUCAUAAUCAUAUGCCCUUUAGAUCAUCCAAGAGAACACUUUGUUCCAAUUCUAUGAGAUGCCAUGGUGCCUCUAUUAAGAAUAUGUAUUAUCACCAACCUCCAUCAACAAUGGCAAUUCGUAGGGAAUCUAUAUAUAUAAUCAUUUUAGGGUCUUACCUAUAGGUCAAAACCUUCUAUUGAUUUUAGCAUAGACUUAAUAUCUUCUUAAAGUUGAGAGUCCAUGCAAUAUAGUAACUUUGUAAAUCAUGACAACCCGAUGACCUUAUUGCAAAAUUGAAAUAUUGAAAUAUCUUCAUGAUUCAUCAUAGGCACGAUUUGAAAUAUUGCAAAAUUUCAGCGAAAUAUCGUCGAUUUUUCGCUUAUCGGAGAGGAUCAACACGACAUUCAUCAUUUAUAAUCAAUUGACAGAUUUAUCGCGGAUUUUUUUGGGAAUAUCGGUAAUAUUUUGGCAUUUAUCGACAUUUUUGCCUAUUUUUCAAAAAAUUUCCCAAUUUUUUGGUGCCAACCACUUUGGUCAACGCGCAAUCAACCCUCACAUUUUUUGUUGUAAUGCCUAGGGGAUUUGAACCUAGGUCAAAAGGCUUGGGUUGAACCCUGGCUACCAUUGGGCCAAAAUGUCAUUUGUAAAUAUAUGUUCAAUUUAAAUAUGUUAAAGUUCAGCAUUUUAAAAAAUAAUUUUAAUUAUUUUAUUUUAAAUUUAAUGUAAUUGAUUAAUAAAAAUAAAAAAACCAACAUUAUAAUUUUUUAACAAGUCUUUUUUUAUAUCAUUUAUAUGAUAAUUAAAUAUAAAAAAUAUAAAUAUUAAAAAAUCAUAUAUGCAUCAUCAUUUAUUUUACAUUAUUGAAUGCAUUUAAAUUAAAUAAAUUAUAGUUUUAAUAUUAAAUUUAUUAUUAUUGAUCUCAUUAAUCUUAUUUUAAAAAAUAAUUAUCACUUGACUUUUAAAUUUUUUAUAUUUAUUUGUUUAUUUUUUAAUGUCUUUAUUUUAAAAUAUUAAAAAUAUAAAUUUAUUCAAAAAAUACUAAAAUAUAUAUAAAAAAAUUAAUAAUGAAGUUCUAAUAUUUUAUAAAUUAUAAUUAAUUUGAUAAGAUAAAUAAUAAAUUAUAUAUUAUGAUCGAUAUAUCCUUGCUUAGAGAUAAUUUUCUCCUUAAUCAUACUUAUGUCAAUUAUACUUACAAAUUAACUUUAACAUGUGUUUUUUUACUUAUUUUAUCAUUUUUUUUUUUGAGUUUUUCCAAAUAUUUCAAUGAAUUUUGAAUAAUUUUCACCUCACCAAAAUUUUUAUCAAAAUAUUCACCAAUAUUUCUCCGAUAUUUUCGAUAUAAUCAUAAAAUUCAAGUACCAAUAUAUCCAUAUUUUCCAAUAUUUCAAACCAUUAUCAUAGGUGUUGUCUUAUGUAUAACCAUACACACUAGUGUACUCAUAAUAGGAACCCUAUCCCGAUGGUCAAGAUAAGUCAUAUUUUAUAACCAUACACACUAGAUUUUAAAAGUGUGAGAUAAUGCUCAUAAAAAUAACAAAGUAGAGAAUUUGUUGAUAAUUAUUCCCAAAUAAAUGUCAUUAAAACAAUUUGAACUAGAAUUUAAAAUAAAAAGAUGUCACAUGGAUUAACCUAGGAUUUGAGAAAUUUGGCCUCAUCAUAGGCCACACUACAAACCUGAGAUGAGUUUUAGGAGAAAAUGAGUAGAAGUUAGAAUAAUAAAACAGUUUUUUUGUUUUCCAAAACAAAAAAAUUGGAAAACACAUUUUACAAUCAAAAAAUAUUUUAUGCUUUUUGUUCUCAAUAACAGAAAACAAAGUGUUUCAGAUAAUAUCUUUUAGUUAUUUUAAUUAUUUUCACUUAUUUUUUUAGAGUUGUUUUAAAAAAUAAUUAUAGAAAUAUGUAUCAUGAUUAAAAAUAAAGCUCUAGAUAUAAAAAUAAUUUUUAAAACUUACUUAAAAAUAUUAAAAACAUUUUAGAUUCUCAAACAAACUUUUAGUUUACAAAACAUUAAAGAAUAGUUUUUAAAAAUUGUUCUUAAAAACUAUUUUUCAGAACUAUUUCAAAAAAACAGUUAUCAAACAGGUCCUUAAUUUCUAGCCCGUGAAAGAAGAGAAAAAAAGAGUAAUUUUGUUUAGUAUAAAUAAACAAAGAGUCAUGUGAAUAAAGGGAUCCUUGAUAUAACAACAAAAAUCAACCUUUCCAACUUCUCAAGUGAUUCGAUCUCUUUGUUGACCAUCGUGACAACCUUAAUCUCUUUUCAUUAGCAGUAGGAGUAAGGUAGAUUAGCAGCAGAUUCAUCAAUGGGGAAACCAUUUUAUGCUUGUUCCUAUCAUUUAGGUUUACAUCAAUGAGUGGUUUGGAGGGUGUACUACCUAUAGUCUAUUAAUUAAAUUUGAGGGGAAAGGCUUUUAUCCUUUAAAGGACUUCUUGCCACCCUUCUUCAAUUUUGGGGAGAGUUCGAUCAAUAUUCAAUCACCAUUUAGCAUUAUUAUCCAAGGGGUCAUGGGAGAGAAGUUUCUCUAGCAUCGGUUAUGCCAUAUCCAAUAUACACAUCACUGGAGGGUGACAUUAUCCCAAUAAUCACAUCAUGCCCUUCAGUACCAGUAUAGUUUUGAUCAAUGCAAUUUGCUGUGAAUUUCUGUAGUGGUAGAAUUAUAGCCAGGAGAUUCUAGCCCCAGUAUCCACCAUAGGCCAGCAAAGUGAAUAAUCCUAGGAGAAUAAGCUCAGAAGCACAAGGAUUUGAUCAAUGGAACCUGGUUUUUUUUUGUUUUAAUUUCUUUACUGAUGUAAUAAACCUUCUGUUUAUUUGGUUCGCUGUCAUUAUUAUAAUCUCUAGUAGUUGCACCAUCCUGGGUGAAUGAGCUAUUACCUCUACCAAUUGAAGUUUUUUUUGGUUACAGUCCUUGGUAUUCUCUUGGAAUUGACAACCAUUUGGAAAAUAAAAAUUCCUUUAUUUAGACAUAAAAAGAAUCCACAAGCAUGGACCAUUGCUAAAAGAAGAUUGAUAUGAGACUAUUCAACCCGAGACACUAUUUGCCUAGGUAUAUUUCGGGAUGGUGAUUCAUUCCUCUAAUAGGACUAGAACAAAUGGCUAAAUUGCUCUGAUAUGCUCACAUCUUUAAUCAAUAAGUUUACACUAAAUCAGUAUAACUCCCUACCAAAACGCUAGGUGAGAGAUCAGGGGCAAAGCUAGGUAGUGUCUGGGAGGGGCAAAUGCCCCCCAUGAAAUUUUAAUAAAUAUAUUAGGGUUUAGAUCCUUAACCUAAAAUUCUGAAAAACCUAACUCUCAAACUAGGUUUCAUAUAUUGCCCCCAAUCAAUUAAUUUCCCAACUCCACCACUGUGAGGGAUUGUACCUAAGUAGGGCAUCACUUUCAUAAUUCUAUACUCCUCUUGUCUCUUUUCCAUUCAAAAGGACUUGAGUUGAAAGAUUUUGAGGCCUAAAAUUAUAUACAAGUCAAGCCCAUAGGCCAAAACAUAGAACUGGUGGGUAAAGCACCCCAAACUAGACUUCUCAAACACAAUAAUAUUGAAGAUUAAGCUAAAAUUUGUAACUGCAUUUUAUAUUGAAGUGAGUUUCAUUUUAGUAUUAAUUUUUGGAUAAAGUUAAAAACUAAAGGACAUCAGAAAUGUUAUUUUUAAUUACGUAUAUCAAUAGCACUUUAUAGGAGAAAUUUUAAGUAGUGAAAUAUGGAAAAUUUAAGCUCAUAUAGAAUGAAUAGUUAAAUGCAAAAUGGUACACUUAUUAAAGAGUUGAACAUUGACCAACUUAUUUUCUGGGCUAGACAAAAGUAGACAAGAAAAUUCAAUGAAAUAUUGGGGACUUUCUUUUCUGUGUGGUUGAAAGAUACAGAAGAAUUAUAAAUCCUACACUAAAUUUGAAGCGACUUAUGAGUGAUACACCAAACUUAUUGUUUGGGCUAGAGAAAAGUAGGCAGGAAAAUUCAAUGAAAUGGGGACUUUCUUUUCCGUGUGUUAAUGAUGUUAAAUGAAGAAAGAAAAUCUGUGUCACUAAGUUUAAAUGUGCUCAUCUUUAAAAUUGCACUAAAGUCAUUUACGUGAGUCCAACUUUAGAAAAAAGAUGGUUGAUUGUCAAUAUAAGUUGUCAUAUUAAUCAUUAUUAUAUUUAAAAUUUGGAAAACAUGAACAUGAAAAGGAAAAAGGAAAUUCAAAAACAAAAUAAUGAAAAACAACAAUUAGAAAAUAGAAAUCAAUAUAGCCUAAAAAUUGUAUUAGAACAAUUUUCUAAACCUAAACCAAUAGGAAUUCAAAACCUUCACAAUGAGAUAAGUCAAAUUAAACUUCAAGUUAAUACUAAGUUAAUUCAUAAUCAAGAAGUAGAAACUAGACUUCAAAUGCUAGAAAAUGAAAAAGUUCAAAUCAUAGAAGAUGAUAAUAAACAAUUAAAAGGAGAAUUUUGGGAAUUGUUUGUAAAAACUAUAACAAGAAUGAAAACUCAAAAAUGGUAUGUCAAAGUAAAACUCUUCAUAAAACCUGAUUUUUCAAAAUAAUUUUUAGCAUUAGUUGAUUGUGGUGCUAAUAUUAAUUGUGUACAUGAAGGAUUAAUUCCAAUUGUAUACUUUGAAAAAACAUACCAAGGGGCCGUAAGUGCAAACUCACAACCCUUGGCAAUAGAUUUCAAAAUUUCAAAUGUACAUAUAUGUAGUCAAAAUAUUUGUUUCAAGACUUCUCUAUUGCUAGUCAAAGACAUGCAUAAAGAGAUAAUUUUAGGAAUACCAUUCCUUGCUAUAUUUUAUCCUUUUAAAGUAGAUAGUGAAGGAAUUAAAACAAUUUAUAAAGGACAAAAUAUUUGCUUUAAAUUUACUAAUCCUAUACAAACCAAAGAAUUAAAUACACUUCAAAAUGAAGAAGUAAACUUAAUUCAAAAGAAAAAACAACAUACCAAAUUCAUAAGCAAAGAAAUACAUUAUAAAAGAAUUGAAGAAAAUCUAUUACAAAAAGCAAUUCAAACAAGAAUGGAAAAAAUUAAAAAUCAAAUUGAAACAGAACUAUGUUCUUCUAUUCCCAAUGCUUUUUGGGAUAUAAAGAAACAUAAAGUUUCCUUGCCCUAUAUUGAUGGAUUUGAUGAAGCUCAAAUUGCCACUAAGGUAAGACCAAUUCAAAUGAAUGCUUAAUUAUUUGAAUACUAUCAAAAUGAAAUAAAAGAUCUUUUGAAUAAACAUCUUAUUAGAAAGAGUCACUCUCUUUAGAUCGUUGCUUUCUAUGUUCAAAAACCCUCAAAAAUUGAAAAAAGUGCUCCAAGACUUGUAAUAAAUUAUAAGCCUUUAAAUAAGGUUCUCAAAUGGAUAAGGUAUCCAAUAGCUAACAAAAGAGACCUUAUCGGACACCUUGAUAAUGCUUUAGUCUUUUCAAAAUUUGAGAUGAAGUAUGGAUUUUGGUAAAUUCAACUUCAAGAAAAAGACAAAUACAAAACUACAUUCACUGCUCCAUUUGGGCAUUAUGAAUGGAAUGUAAUGCCUUUUGGUUUAAAGAAUGCUCCAUCAAAAUUUCAAAAUAUAAUGAAUGACAUUUUCAAUCACUAUACUAAUUUCUCCUUAGUAUAUAUUGAUGAUGUGCUUAUAUUUUCAAAUUCUAUUGAACAUCACUUCAAACAUCUUGAAAUCUUUCAACAAUUUGUUAGGGAAAAUGGCUUAGUGGUAUCUGCCCCUAAGAUCAAACUAUUUCAAACUAGGAUAUUUGAUUUCUACUUCUUGUUGUCAAGUAUAAUUCUUCCUUUCAAGAUUUCAAAUUCCUUGAAUUAUGUGUUGGGACUUUGUCCAAACACAAUUAGUUUCACCUCAUUUUCCUCCACAUUUAGCAAGAGAAUUCAAAGUCAAAUGGUGGUCAAAUUUCUCUCAUUCUACUGCCUAACAAAUUCCCCAUAUCCAUCAAUGGAUUUCCUCAAAAAAUGCUCCUUCAAAGCUAAGUCCUUCAAAAACUCCUAUUCAAAUUCCUCUUGAUAACUUUUUGUUAUCAAGAACUUUGUUCCCUUCAGACAAAGAAUUCAAAAACAUCUCAAAAUGCUUAUGAAAAAAUAGAAACCAUGUCUCAACUCUCUGAUUUUGGUUCUGAUGAUGAUACUGCAUCAUCUACUUUUUUAGGGGAUCUCAAUGAAGACAUGUGCUAUGGAUUUCUAUACACGCCUCUGGAGUAACGCCUUCAAGUCUUCAUUAAAAUCAAUUUGUGAAGCACUUCAAAAGAGACACUUAGGUCUUCAGGUCAAGCAAAAUGUUCGCAUUCUUGCCUUUGAUUACAUUUUCCAAAGAGACUUUGGAUAUCGUGGCAAAAUCUCAAAGGACCUCAAAUUUCUCAAAGAAUCUAGGUUUGAAGAUGAUUUCCUAUUGUAGACUCCAACAUUUUCCAAUAUGAGUGGGUUGAUGAGACAUCAAUACCGCUCUUCAAAUUUAUGGAUAAAAACAAUGGGCUACAAACCGCUCUUCAAAUUCAAAGGAUAGCUGCACAAAAGAAAAACUACUUUCGGUGGAUUUCAAAACUCUUCAAAUCUAUGAACUUAAAAGGUUUUCAUAUCCGUCCUCAAAUCCUAUAUAAGGCCCUCAUUUCUCAUUGUAAGGCAUCGACAAUUCAGUAGUGGUAUUUGAGUAAAAACAAGUGAAAUAUCCCUCUAAGCGAAAGUCUUGUAAUUGAGAAAAUCUCAAAGCUCUCAAAGUUUUGUUUAAGCUCUCUUCAAAAGCUUGUAAGUUUAUGUUUCAAAUUCUUUUGUAAUUAUUUUAUGCUUUGAAUGAAAUUUCAAAUUCAACUGUUCUUCAAGUUUUACAUAUUGCAUCAAAGAACCCCUUUGAAUAUGAACUUUCUUGAAGUUCUGUCAAAGUUAUCUGGGUUUUAAGUGAGACCAUUAUGACUCCUCUAGAUUCAAUUGGGAGAUUUCAUCAAAAUUCAUAUUGAAAUUCAAAUUGAAGUGUUCUUUAUUUCAUUUUAUUUCAUCCAUCGAUAUUAAUUUUUGGAUAAAGUUAAAAACUAAAGGACAUCAAAAAUGUUAUUUUUAAUUACGAUAUCAAUAGCACUUUAUAGGAGAAAUUUUAAGUAGUGAAAUAUGGAAAAUUUAAGCUCAUAUAGAAUGAAUAGUUGAAUGGAAAAUGGUACACUUAUUAAAGAGUUGAACAUUGACCAACUUAUUGUCUGGGCUAGAGAAAAGUAAGCAAGAAAAUUCAAUGAAAUAUUGGGGACUUUCUUUUUUGUGUGGGUUGAAAGAUACAGAAGAAUAAUAAAUCCUACACUAAAUUUGAAGUGAUUUAUGAGUGAUACACCAAACUUAUUGUUUGGGCUAGAGAAAAUUAAAGUAGGCAAGAAAAUUCAAUGAAAUGGGGACUUUCUUUUCUGUGUGGAUAUAGAAGAAUUAUAAAUCCUACGCUAAAUUUGAAGUGACUUAUGAAUGAUACACCAAACCAUAUGUUGAUCACAAUGGCUAAAAUGAAUUAUCUUGUUGAAUCCAUAUUAAUAAAAUUUAUUGUUAUGGAUAUUUUUUAUAUUUCUAUUAACAGUAUGGAAGAGUGUUAGUGAAGCUGAAUCUAGCAUACACCUAAAAUGCUAUGAAGAGAUUAUUUAAUAGUGAUUUUAAAAAGUAUUUUUAAUCUUUCUAAUUUUGAAAGAUGACAAUUUUCAAGUGUUCAAAAUGGUACAAACACUUUUUAGAAUUAUUAUCAGAUACACUCAAAAUUUGUAAAAAGAAAAAAGAAUAUAAGAUAAGUCAGCUUAUGUUGGUAAAAAUCUUGGUCAUUCAACAUGAAUGGUUUGGUCUAAGAAAUUUUCUAACCCAAAGAAGGAAACAGAUUUAGGAAUUGAUAGAAUGUGUAAGGCAUGAAUUGUGUGGCUUUAUCCAAAGGAAUAAAUUCCAUUUUGGUGUUCCUAAUAGAGUAAUUAGAAUAAUUUGAUUGUAACUUUUCAAUUUGAUCACCUCGAACUAAACAGAACAUACAUAAGCAAUGCCAUGAAAUUUGUAUAAAAUUAAAACUGUUGUUUAUGGUAAUUUCAUAAUUAAACCGUCUUUCAUCAAAAGCACAAGAAAACUCAUAUGAACUAAAAAGAUAUGAAAAUAGCUAGAAGUAGUCCCAUCAUGACCCCUUUUUUUUUUUUUUUGACUGAACAGGAUACCAUGCGUGGAAUGUUGUCUUAUUAUUUAUGUAAUAUUAGAACUUUUUCUCUUCUUGAAACAUGAAUAGAAGUUAAUUAUGUUUUGUGUUAACAGUAUCCCCCAGCGGCUUCCAAUGAGAAUUCUACUCUUCUCAUGCCUUUUUUCCAUGCCCUUAUGCUCAAUCAUCUUUGGUAUCCAUAUUACUUUGGUGUCCGGUGAAUGUCUCAGUGAUGGACGGGUAUGCCUGGAAGAUGAGAUGUCUUUGUUGCUACGGCUGAAGAAGACCCUCAAAUUCAAUGUUGCUGUUUCAAAUAAACUAGUUUCCUGGAAUCGAAGCGCAGACUGCUCUUCUUGGGGAGGUGUGACCUGGGAUGCCAAUGGUCACGUUGUCGGUCUUGAUCUGAGUAGCGAAUCAAUUUCUGGUGGAUUCAAUAGCUCUAGUAGCCUUUUCAGUUUACAAUAUCUCCAGAGCUUGAAUUUGGCUGGAAACAGCUUCUGCGGAGGAUUGAACUGGCCUAACAACAGCUUCUGCUCUUCUCAAAUUCCAUCAGGAUUUGACAGGCUUGCUAAUUUAAUUUAUCUGAAUUUAUCCAAUUCUGGCUUUUCUGGGCAGAUUCCAAAGGAAUUUUCGCUCUUGACUAGCUUGGUUACCAUCGAUUUCUCCAGCCUUGGUUAUCUCAUUGGAUUUCCUACACUGAAACUUGAGAAUCCAAAUCUGAGAAUGCUGGUUCAGAAUCUCAAGGAGCUUAGGGAACUUCAUCUUAAUGGUGUAGACAUAUCAGCCGAGGGGAAGGAGUGGUGCCAGGCAUUGUCAUCUUCAGUGCCUAAUCUCCAAGUGCUUAGCUUGUCCAGCUGUCAUCUUUCAGGCCCAAUCCAUUCUUCCCUGCAGAAGCUUCGAUCUCUCUCAAGGAUUCGUCUGGAUGACAACAAUUUUGCUGCUCCAGUUCCACAGUUCCUCGCUAGCUUCUCAAAUUUGACUCACUUGCAGCUCAGUUCUUGUGGAUUAACUGGAACGUUUCCAGAAAAGAUCAUUCAGGUAACAACCCUACAGAUUCUUGAUUUGUCAAUUAACUUACUUGAAGAUUCUUUGCCAGAAUUCCCUCAAAAUGGAUCUCUAGAAACAUUGGUGCUUUCGGAUACAAAACUAUGGGGGAAACUACCCAACUCCAUGGGAAAUCUUAAGAAGCUGACUAGCAUAGAGCUGGCACGUUGCCAUUUCAGUGGCCCAAUCCUAAACUCAGUGGCAAACCUUCCUCAACUGAUUUACUUGGACUUGUCUGAAAAUAAGUUUUCCGGUCCAAUUCCAUCUUUUAGUUUGUCCAAGAGACUCACCGAAAUAAACCUUUCCUACAAUAAUUUGAUGGGUCCAAUUCCUUUCCACUGGGAACAACUUGUUAAUUUAAUGAAUCUUGACCUGCGGUACAAUGCAAUUACAGGAAAUCUCCCCCCGUCCCUGUUUUCCCUCCCAUCCUUGCAGAGGUUACGACUAGACAACAACCAAAUUUCUGGUCAGUUCAAAAUUCUUUUAAAUGCAUCUUCUUCUAGAUUGAGCACCCUUGGUUUGAGUAGCAACAAUCUCAAAGGGCCGAUACCUGAUUCUGUCUUUGAACUGCGGUGUCUUAGCUUCCUUGACCUAUCUUCCAACAAAUUCAAUGGAAAGAUUGAACUCAGCAAGUUUAAAAAACUUGGGAAUCUUACUGAUCUUAGCCUUUCAUACAACAACCUGUCCAUCAAUGCAACCCUUUGUAAUCUGUCCCCUUCUAUACUGCCUAUGUUUACAACAUUAAGGUUGGCUUCUUGCAGGCUGACAACUUUACCUGAUCUUAGCGGCCAGUCAAGCUUGACACAUUUAGACCUUUCCCAAAACCAAAUUCACGGGAACAUACCUAGUUGGAUUUAGAAGAUUGGUAAUGGCUCUCUUGUGUAUUUGAAUCUCUCUCAUAAUUUACUGGAGGAUCUACACGAACCUUUCCCUACUUUUACUCCUUAUCUGUCCAUCCUUGACCUACAUUCCAACCAGCUCCAUGGCCAAAUCCCCACUCCUCCCAUAUUUUGCAGCUAUGUGGAUUACUCGAACAACAGUUUCACCUCCUCCAUCCCAGAAGAUAUUGGUACUUACAUCUUCUUCACUAUUUUCUUCUCUCUUUCUAAGAAUAACAUCACUGGAAUGAUCCCUGCAUCAAUCUGCAAUGCCAGUUACCUGCGAGUUCUUGACUUUUCUGACAACGCUUUGAGUGGAAUGAUACCCUCAUGUUUAAUUGGGAACGAGAUUCUUGAGGUCCUGAAUCUACGGAGAAACAAGUUAAGUGCCACUAUACCUGGGGAAUUUUCGGGAAACUGUCUUUUACGGACUCUAGAUCUGAAUGGGAAUCUCUUAGAAGGAAAAAUUCCAGAAUCUCUAGCCAAUUGCAAAGAGUUAGAGGUUUUAAACCUUGGGAACAAUCAGAUGAGUGAUUUUUUUCCUUGCUCGUUGAAGACUAUAAGCAAUUUGCGCGUCCUUGUUCUUCGAUCCAACAGAUUCUAUGGACCCAUUCAAUGUCGACUGAUUACUACCAAAAAGUGCUAUUUUGUAAACCUAAUUAUAAUGGUUUUAAGCACCUUUGAGUAGUAAUCAUAUUCAUUUAACCCAAUUAAUUCAUUAAGGUCCUUAGUAAUUGGUUUUAACCAUUUUGUGGCAAGUUUACAUGUUUAUAUCAGCUUAUGAAUCAAUUCAGGCAUGCCAAAUGAUGGAGGAGCUACUUGGACAAGUUAAAGCAAGCUUUUAGCUACACCAAAGCAAGCCAACAAAAGGAGAAAAGCAAAGAGAAGCAAAGAGAAGCAAAAAGAAGCAAAGAGGAAAAUAGAGGACAGCAGCUGCAGUCUUCUUUGGCACUUUUGGAGCACUUCCCGAAGUCCAUUUUCUACAUGCUAUAUACCAUUUCAAAGCUCAGGAAGUCAAGAAUCUAACGCUUCAAACCGUGUACGAUUUGGAGCUGAAAUGAGGAAGAUAUGGCCUUUGAAAGACAACUGCUCCAGGUGUGCGAAAGGUGUGCGAAUGGUGUGCGAAACUCGCACACCCCCCUCAGGUGUGCGAAAAUUUCGCACACCCCAUGCGUGGUGCGAAUUUUGCUCUGUUUUUGCCGACUCCACUUUAGAUAUUUUCUUUUGUAUUUUUUGAUGUAAUUUCCUUUCUUCUCCUUGUAACAAGCCAAUCACAAGCUUUUGCUUUUGUAAAGACUAUAUAAGGGGUGGAAAUCACCUCUUGGAAUAUAUAAUACAUAUUACGUUUUACACUCUCUCGUUUUCUCUUUUCUCUUCACUAUUUUAUUUUCUUGGUAGCCAAACAGCCUCUAAGGGCUUUUCCUCAGAGGAUGAUUGGCUAAAACUUUUAGUUUCUCAAAGUAUGGAUGUUAUGUGAUGACUUGGAUGCAAUCCCAUGGAAAUUUCUCACACCCGGAAGGUAAGGUAGUCGUUUUUCAUUAAAGGUUCAUUAAUGCAAAGUUUGGUUUUUAUUUCCUUUGGACAACUUCCAACGGCCAAUACUUGAUAAGCUUUUGGAUUUCUAUCCAUUAGUUAUCUCCUACGAGCUAUUGGAAGGUGAGGUUUUCAAUUCCAAGUUUUGUAUUAAUCCGUUAGAACCAAUUUCAAUGGCCAUUGAAAGGUGAGUUUAUCACCUGGAAUGACUUUGAGUUGCCAAUAUUUGGUAAGCUUUUGGCUUUAGACCAUUAGUUAUCUCUUACGAGCCAUUCAAAGGAAGUCUAAGGUGAAUAACCAUUGAUGAAAUUCACUACCAUCUGUUUUGCCAUUUUAAAGGAUUAAAACGUGAUUUGCUAAAUCCAUACCGGUUCGGGAAGCAAGCAUCACCAUAGUUGCAACCCCAACGCGAGGAGCCUAUCCUGAGAUUUCCAAUUUGCAUAAAAGCCAGAGCAUAGCUAUCCUAUCUUUGAGAAACUUGUUUUAAGAAAAUCACCUAUUUUCCUAACUUGAAUAUCACUUGUGUUUGCGAAAACCCUUCCCAGUGAACGAUCCUAGAACCACUAUGCUAUAGUAGCUUGGCUACUUGAGUAAUAGUAUUCAAGGUAUAAAUUUUGUUGAUACGCCUUUAAAGCUAAGCUACCAUGAGUCGCAUCAUCGACCACAUAGCAAUCCCACCUGGCCACUGCUUCAAAUUAUCGACCUUGCUUCCAACAAUUUUACUGGUGACUUGUCAGGAAAAUUCUUUUUAACCUGGAAGGCAAUGAGGGCUGAUAAAGAUGGAGCCAGGUCAGAGCUCAAUCACCUACAACUUCAGGUACUACAAUUCGGCCAAGUGUACUAUCAGGAUACGGUGACUGUCACCAGCAAAGGCCUAGAAAUGCAGCUUGUGAAGAUUCUAACCGUCUUCACUGCCAUUGAUUUCUCCUUCAACAAUUUCCAAGGGGAGAUACCAGAAGCUAUGGGAAGCUUGAUUUCACUUUAUGCUCUCAACCUGUCCCAUAAUGCUUUGACGGGCCAAAUCCCAUCAUCACUAGGGAAGUUGCGGCAGCUUGAGUCGUUGGACCUCUCACAGAACAGCCUUAGGGGGGAGAUACCACCACAGUUUGUGAGCCUAAAUUUCCUUUCCUUCCUUAACCUCUCCUUUAAUCAACUGGAGGGAGAAAUCCCCACAGGUACUCAACUUCAAACGUUUUUGGAAUCUUCUUAUGAAGGGAACAAAGAACUAUGCGGACCCCCCUUGAAGAGGAAAUGCACAGAUCCAUCCCCACCCACCUCUGAAGAAACACAUCCGGAUUCUGGGAUGAAGAUUAACUGGGUGUACAUAGGUGCUGAAAUUGGAUUUGUCACCGGUAUAGGAAUUGUGAUUGGGCCUCUUGUGUUAUGGCGAAGGUGGAGACGAUGGUACUACACACAUGUGGAUAGACUUCUUUUGAGGAUUCUCCCGCGUCAAGGCGGAGGAGUUCAUGGCAGGAGACGUCACAGAAGUCAGCGACAGAGACUCUAGCACCAGAAAGGUGGCGCAGCUAGAGUUUGUUCUAUGGAAGGAAAAAUAAAAACUAAAAAGUAUGUUCAUUGCUAGGAUUUCUGUGUUUUUUUACCUUAAAAAUUGGAAGUACGUUGUUUUUGAAUAAUAUCUUUCAAUUAUUUUAACUUAUUUUAAAAAAUAAUUAUACAAAUAUGAACAAAAAUUAAAAAUAAAAUAAUACUAUAGAACCCCAUUUUGGGGGGCAUUUUUUGCAAAUUAUUUAUGUAGGUGGAGGGCUCUUAACGAGCCACGUGUUGCCCCAAGUUUGGUCUUUAGAGAAUCAUGUUAGUGGUUUGAAGAAGAAAUGGAAGGGCGACACGUGUCAUGGGAAUAUUCAGAAACAGUUUUUUUUUGGGGAUUUGGAGGAGCGUAUUUUUGAUAUAGAGAUAAGGAGGCCGUUAAGGAGGGGGAGAUAUUUGGUUGCUAUUACAGAGAGGUAUAAGUAGCUUGGGAGGCAAGACUGAGGAGGCAUGUUUUUUGGGGUUGCUUAGGAGAGAGGGAUACCUGGGGGGGAUUCUCUUUGGAGGAGGUUACAGAGGAGCGUUUUUUUUAGUAGCUUGAGAAAGAAGACAACUGGAGAGAAGACCAUUUGAGCUAGAGAAAGGGAAGAGGAGAAUUGGUUGAGCUUGGAAGGGAGAACUGGUCAAAGAGAGGAGGAAACACACAGAAGAAUCGUCUUGAAAGAGGGUGACACAGUAAACCGGCCCAUCACUCAGGUACACUCCUUGCCUAUCUUGUUUAUUCGGUUAUUUUGUUUUGAUUGAUAUUCAUUCAUAUCCAUGUUUGAUCAAUCAAUUGUCAUACUUGCUUCAUCUCAUUAGUAGAGACCCGUUUUUAGGGACUUAGAGGGGUGCUACAGUCUUUACCGUACCUUCCCAAUAAGUAACCUAACCCCCGAGUUCAAAUUUGAUUUUUCACAGACCACCUUUUCCAAAAUAAAGAGUCAAACUUAGGGUUUUCUUUCUUAUUUUGUUUACCCUUUAAAAAUAAAACAAAAAUAAGUGGCGACUCCAAGUCAUUUUCUUAAAAAAUAAAUCAUUUUCAAAUAACAAGCGAGUUUGCCAUCGAGUGGAAGCGCAUGAGCAGAAAUACGGGGUCCACAAAUACACACUUAGGGUUUUCUUUAUUUAUUUUGGCAUUCAAAGCCACCGUUCCUUUUUAGUUCGACAUUCAUAGCCAUCAUACCUCUUUUUCAGUUUGGCGUUCAGAGCCACAUCUUCAUUUUGGCGUUCAGAGUCACAUCUUCAUUUUGGCGUUCAGAGCCACCGUCCCUUUUUAGUUUGGCAUUCAGAGUCACCAUCUCUUUUUUCGAUUUAGCGUUCAGAGCCGCAUCUUCAUUUUGGCGUCCAGAGCUGUUGUUUGCUUCUAGUUCAGUAUUCAUAGCCAUCAUACCUCUUUUUCGGUUUGGCAUUCAGAGCCGCAUCUUCAUUUUGGCAUUCAGAGCAGUUGUUCAUUUUAGUUCGGUAUUCAAAGCCACACCUUCAAUUCGGUGUUUAGAGCUGCAUUUUUUGUUUGGCGUCUAGAUUCGUUGUUCGUUUUCAAUUUGGUGUUCAGAGCCGUCGUUUAUUUCUAGUUCGGCAUUCAGAGCCAUCAUACAAUUUUCAGUUUGGUGUUCAGAGCCAUCAUUUGUUUUUUUAGUUCAACAUUCAGAGUCGUCAUGUAUUUCUUUCAUUCGUCGUUCAAAGUCACAUCUUCAUCUUGGCGUUCAGAGCCGCAUCUUCCAUUUGGCGUUCAGAGUCAUGUCUUCAAUUCAACAUUCAGAGUCAUUAUUCAUUAUUGAAAUUCAAAGCCAUUGUUUCAUUCAGGCAUUUGAUGCCACCAUUUUUCUUUAGUUUUGGCGUUCAGAGCCAUUGUGCAUACUUAUUCAGGCAUUCGAUGCCACCAUCAUUCUUUAGCUUUGGCGUUCAAAGCUGUUGUGCAUACUCGUUUAGGCAUUUAGAUCACCAUUCAUUCAUCCAUUUUGGCGUUCAGAAUCAUUUUCCUUACCUUGUUACCUUGUGCUUAUUGCUUGUUCAUCAUGGUCUUCUAGACUUCCCCUUCCACUACACAUGACAUAGUCCUUUAAGUUCAUGACACAUAUUUUGGUCAUGUUGUUGGGCACCCCACGUUUAGCGUGCUCAUGUGGCUCACAUAGGGCGGUCUCCUUUGAGCACAUUCUUUUCUGUACUCCAAGGUGGUUCGACCAUUAGCAUCUUUGACAUUGACCUUCAAGUCACUUUUGGAGACGUCUUAGAUGGAGUCUGGAUCCUUAGUUCAACUUUAGAGGCACAUUGAGACGUGUUUUUCUCUUAGGAUUAAAGUCAUUUUGUUCAUCUAUGCGAGUGAGUUUGUGUUUUGCUAAUGUCCCUUUGGGGGUCUCAUUGGUUCUUCGAUAGAGUUCACUUCAUUCCACUUAUUAUUCACACUUUUUUUUCACCUUAGUGUUCAUAUUCCUUACACUCGUGAGCUCUACCGAAGAGGGGCAUAUUUGUAGACCCCCAUUUUGGGGGGCAUUUUUUUGAAAAUUAUUUCUGCAGGUGGAGGGCUCUUAAAGAGCCACAUGUUGCCCCAAGUUUGGUCUUUAGAGAAUCAUGUUAGUGGUUUGAAGAAGCAAUGGGAGGGCAAUACAUGUCAUGGGAAUAUUCAGAAACAGUUUUUUUGGGGAUUUGGAGGAGCGUAUUUUUGAUAUAGAGAGAGGAAGGUCGUUAAGGAGGGAGAGAUAUUUGGUUGUUGUUACAUAAAGGUAUAGAUAGCUUGGGAGGCAAGACUGAGGAGGCGUGUUUUUUGGGGUUGCUUGGGAAAGAGGGAUACCUGGGAGGGAUUCUCUCUAGAGGAGGUUAUAAAGGAGCGUUUUUUUAGUAGCUUAAGAGAGAAGACAACUGGAGAGAAGACCAUUUGAGCUAGAGAAAGGGAGAAGGAGAAUCACCUGAGCUUGGAAGGGAGAAUUGGUUAGAGAUAGGAGGAAACACACAGAAGAAUCGUCUUGAAAGAGGGUGACACAGUAAACCGGCCCAUCACUCAGGUACACACCUUGCGUCUCUUGUUCAUUCGGUUAUUUUGUUUUGAUUAAUAUUCAUUUGGUAUCCAUUUUUUAUCAAUCACUUGCCAUACUUGCUUCAUCUCAUUAGUAGAGGCUCGUUUUUAGGGACUUAGAGGGGUGCUACGGUCUUUAUCGUAUCUUCCCAAUAAAUAACCGGACCCCCAAGCCUAGAUUCGGUUUUUCACAAACCACCUUUUCCAAAAUAAGGAGUCACACUUAGGGUUUUCUUUCUUAUUUUGUUUACCCUUUAAAAAUAAAACAAAUAUAAGUGGCAACUCCAAGUCAUUUUCUUAAAAAAUAAAUCAUUUUCAAAUAAAAAGCGAGUUUGCCAUCGAGUGGAAGCGCAUGAGCAAAAAUGCGGGGUCCACAAAUACAUAUAAAAUUUUUUUUAAAACAAAUUUAAAAAUAUAUCAAACGGUUAAAAAACAUUUCAAAUUCUCAAAUACACUUUUGUUAAUCUACUAAACAUUAAAUAACAUAUUUAAAAAAUUGUUCUCAAAAACUCUUUUAAAAUACACUUCUCACUCAAAACCUAAUAAACUAAGAAUAUCAAUAACAAAAUAUUAAUAAAAAGAUUUAAAUAAAAUACGGAGAAAUCCUAUUCAAAAAGUAAGGUCAUGUUUAACAACUAUUUUUUAAAACAGUUUUUUUUUUUUUUAUUCAGAAUAAAAAAUAGGAAAACAUGUUUGAGAACUAAAAAUCAUAAUAUGGUUUUCUAUUAUUAAAAGCAUGAAAUGGUGUUUUCAAGUAACAUCUUUAAAAUUUUAAGAGAUUAUCGGAUCAUGUCAAAAGGGUUUAGCUAGAAUAAUCUAGGAAAUUUUACUCUAAAGUACUUCUUCAAAUGCUCAUCAUCAUUGAAUCCCAUGAUUCCAAUUCUACAAUUGUAAGAGUGCGUUUGAGAGUGAUUUUAGAAAACAUUUAUAGUAUUUUCAACAUUUAAAUGAUAAAAAAUUUCAAAUGUUAAAAAGAUUAAAAACGUUUCCUAGAAUUAUUUUCAAACGGACUAUAAAUCCUCUUCUGGUUAUGAUUGUAAAUGAAAUAUACAAAUAUAAUAGUCAGAGACUAAAGACAAAACGUUGUUUUAUAUAUACAUAUAUAACCGAAAUACAUGAAACUUGUAGUCUGAUUUUUCCAAUGGAAGAAGAUAGUUCCACCAUUAUAUUGAUUUGGUAAUCAUUUCGAAAUAUAAUUUUACUCAUGCUUUGAAAUGCAUGAAACUAAUAAAUUAAACUGAAAUCUAAUAGAAUUGAAAUAAGAGAAGUUAACAAUACCCAUCCACCCAUUUUUAUUUUAUUUUUCUUGUUAAGUCCUCAGCUUUCCUCUUACUUCAUGCCUUUUCUUUCCCCAUGUUAAGAGACAAUUUAACAUCUAUUGAAAUAGUAUGUUGGAAGAUGGUUGAACACUUGUGAGAGAUAGUUAAGUACUACAAAUUAAAUAUAAUAGCAGAAAUUCAUCAAUGCAAACUAUUUUAAGGAUGUGCCAAAUUUUGUGAAAGAUGUACCAAAUUUUGUAAAGAAUGUGCCAAAUUGUUUUUAGGAUGUACCUUGGGUUCCAAUGUUCGUUUCAAGCUGGGGAACAACCUCUAAUUCCUUCUCGAGGGUCCCCAAAGGAAUAUAUGAACCAUAAGAAUGGAGAUAGGGGUCUUGGUUCCUCUAAGAAUGGAUAUACCUAGGAUUGCAAAGUUUGUUUUGGGGUGGGCGAGUACCUCCAAUUACUUAUCGAGGGUCCCAAAGGAAUAUAUACACCAUGAUAAGUAUGAUGAUGGUUCUAGUUCUCAUAAACAUGAAUUUACCUAUUUUUUUAAGGAUGUACCUUUUUUUUACCUUUUUUUUUUUUUUUUUUUUAAGGAUGCACCUCUUUUUUUUAUGAAAUAAAUAUAAAAGGUUAAAUACAAUUUUUUUUAUUAAAAAUAUGUUUUCUUUUAUAUUUUAUUUUAAUUAAAAAUUAAAGAUUUUAACCAAACAAAAAGUUAGAUCCACAAGCAAAUUAAAAUCAUAAGAAAAAUAAUAAAAGCACUAUCAGUUAUUGUGAUUUUGAUAUGAUAAAUUUAAAAUGAAAAUAAAAAUAAAAAUAGUGUAAAUAAUAAAAUAGUAUUACAAAGAUAUUUUUAUUUUUACAUGUGAUAGAAUUUACAAAAUAAAUAAAUCUUUUGUUUAGUAUUAAUAUAAAAAAUCUUAUAUCAUAAACUUCUAAAUAAUAAAAUAGAAUUUUUAAAUUUAAACCUUAAUUUAUCAAAUGUAUUAUUAUAAUUAAUAUUUAAAAUCAUCAAGUAUAUUAUUUGUACGAUAAUAUUUUCAUUUUUGUCCAUUAUAUAUAUAUAUAUAUAUAUAUAUUUAUUUAUUUAAUUUGUUAUAUUAAUUUUUUAUUAUAUAUCAUCAUUUUAAGUUUAAUAUGUCAAAAAAAUAAUAAUUGAAAUCAAUAAAUAUGGAUAAAUUAGAGAGUAAAGAAAAAUUACAAUUAAAGAAGUUUUAUGAAAAAAUACAUGAGCAUAUUAAGAAGAAUAUAAAGGAAAAAGAGAAAAAUAAUAAUAAAAACUAUAAUAAGUGACAAUAAAUUAUGGCGGGAAGAUAGGAAAAAAAAGGAAAAAAGAAGAAAGGAAAAAAAUGGGAAUGUGACUAGUGAUAAGCGAGAUAUAUUGAUAAGAGAAAAAUAAUAAAAAUAAAUGACGCAUGUGUUUAUCAACAGGUGGUAUUAAAUGAAUAGAUAAUAUUUUUUUCCUAUUUUACACUAAAUGUCAAAAGGAAAAAGUAAAGUUCUAAAAUGUCAUAUUUUUUUAAAUUGGUUUAUGAUUACAUGAUUUCCCAAAAAAGAAUAUCAGUGUACACAGAAUCGCGAAGAAUUGGACACAAGUAGAAUUGAAAUUGAAUGUGAAUCGAGUGUGAAAGGACAACUUGUAAGAGGACAUUUCUGGUUCUCAUUCAAAGUAAUGAAUUUCAUGUCGGUAGGCGUUCUGUUAUGCGUUCCUUGUUUUCUUUGUCUUUCACAAGGACUUGAUUAGGAAGACUUGAAGUCAAACCGAGCCUCAUUGAUCUUCCAACUACAUACCAAAUAUAUAUCUAUUAGUUGAUCUUCCAAUUAAGAUUAAUAGAUGGAAACCAAAAAGUCAGGCGUAUUGUUUGAGCCACAGAAAAGUCGGCAAUGAAGACCUCUGUUCCGUCGUCGUGGAAAGAUAGGCACGAAUUAAUGAAGUGAACGGGUCAUUGUUGUGUCAAUUCAUAAUUGGUUCCUAAAGGAAAAUUCUGACAAAAUCGUAAGAGUAAAAAAUGUAAGAAAAUGAUAAAUUGUCAUGUGACUUGGGGGAAACAAGGAAGGAAAAAACAUAAAAGCUGCUUCCUGUUCAAUUGGGGGAAACAAAAAAAGUGUAAUGUUGUGUUGUUGAUGUAUAACUACAACAUUCUUUUUUCUUCCUGUUCAAUUUCUCCCUAUCUACAUAUUAAACAUGCUUUGUUGUAGCAGUAUUUCCCAGCUGCUUCCAAUGAGAAUUGCACUCUUUUCAUGGCUUUAUUUCUUGCCCUUAUGCUCAAUCGUUUUUGGUAUCCAUGUGGCUUUGGUGUCCGGGGAAUGUCUGAGUGAUGGGAGCAUAUGCCUGGAGGAUCAGAUGUCCUUGUUGCUGCAACUGAAGAACACCCUCAAAUUCAAUGUUGCUGCAUCAAGUAAACUAGUUUCCUGGAAUCCAAGCACGGAUUGCUGCUCUUGGGGAGGUGUAACCUGGGAUGCCACUGGUCAUGUUGUCGCUCUCGAUCUCAGUAGCCAAUCAAUUUAUGGUGGAUUCAAUAACUCCAGUAGCAUUUUCAGUCUACAAUAUCUGCAGAGCUUGAAUUUGGCUAACAACACCUUCUACUCUUCUCAAAUUCCAUCUGGGUUCAGUAAGCUUGACCAUUUGAUAUACCUGAAUUUGUCUAAUGCUGGGUUUUCUGGACAAAUUCCAAUUGAGAUCUCAUGCUUGACGAAAUUGGUUACAAUUGAUUUCUCCGUGUUUUACCUUCCUGGAGUUCCUACGCUGACACUUGAGAACCCAAAUCUGAGAAUGCUGGUUCAGAACCUGACAGAGCUUAGAGAACUCUAUCUUAAUGGUGUAAACAUAUCGGCACAAGGGAAGGAAUGGUGCCAGGCAUUAUCAUCUUCAGUGCCUAAUCUCCAAGUGCUGAGCUUGGCAAGCUGUUAUCUUUAUGGCCCUCUUGAUUCUUCUCUGCAGAAGCUUCGGUCUCUCUCAAGCAUUCGCCUGGACAGUAACAACUUCUCUGCUCCUGUUCUAGAAUUCCUAGCCAAUUUCUCGAAUUUGACUCAAUUGCGGCUCAGUUCUUGUGGAUUAUAUGGAACAUUUCCAGAAAAGAUCUUUCAGGUACCAACCCUUCAGAUUCUUGAUUUGUCAAACAACAAGUUGCUCCUGGGUUCUUUGCCGGAAUUCCCUCAGAAUGGAUCUCUAGGAACUCUGGUGCUCUCGGAUACAAAAUUUUCAGGGAAAGUACCAUACUCCAUAGGCAAUCUCAAGAGGUUGACUAGGAUAGAGCUUGCAGGUUGUGAUUUCAGUGGAGCAAUUCCAAACUCGAUGGCAGACCUUACACAACUGGUUUACUUGGACUCAUCUUAUAACAAGUUUUCCGGUCCAAUCCCACCUUUUAGUUUGUCCAAGAACCUGACCCGAAUAAACCUUUCUCAUAAUUAUUUAACGGGUCCGAUUCCUUCCUCUCACUUGGAUGGUCUUGUAAAUCUAGUGACUCUUGACUUGCGAGACAAUUCACUGAAUGGAAGUCUCCCCAUGCUCCUGUUUUCCCUCCCAUCACUGCAGAAGAUACAACUGAGCAACAACCAAUUUUCUGGUCCCUUGAGUAAAUUUUCAGUUGUGCCUUUUUCUGUACUGGAGACCCUUGAUUUGAGUAGCAACAAUCUGGAAGGGCCAAUACCCAUAUCUGUCUUUGAUCUCCAGUGUCUUAACAUCCUUGAUCUUUCUUCCAACAAAUUCAAUGGCACUGUUUUACUAAGCAGCUUUCAGAACCUUGGAAAUCUUACCACUCUUAGUCUGUCAUACAACAACUUGUCCAUCAAUUCAAGUGUUGGUAAUCCCACUUUGCCCCUGCUGUUGAAUCUUACCACAUUAAAAUUGGCUUCUUGCAAGCUCAGAACAUUACCUGAUCUUAGCACCCAGUCAAGAUUGACACAUUUAGACCUUUCCGAUAACCAAAUUCCCGGGAGCAUACCUAAUUGGAUUUGGAAGAAUGGUAAUGGAUCUCUUUUGCAUUUGAAUCUCUCUCAUAAUUUACUGGAGGAUCUGCAGGAAACUUUCUCUAAUUUUACUCCUUAUCUGUCCAUCCUUGACCUACAUUCCAACCAGCUCCAUGGCCAAAUCCCAACUCCUCCCCAAUUUUCCAUCUAUGUGGAUUACUCAGACAACAGUUUCAACUCUUCCAUCCCAGAUGAUAUUGGUAUUUACAUUUCCUUCACUCUUUUCUUCUCGCUUUCGAAGAAUAACAUCACUGGAGUUAUUCCUGAAUCAAUAUGCAAUGCCAGUUACCUGCAAGUUCUUGACUUCUCUGACAAUGCUUUUAGUGGCAAAAUACCCUCAUGUUUAAUUCAGAAUGAGGCUCUUGCAGUGUUGAAUCUGGGGAGGAACAAGUUUAAUGGCACUAUACCAGGGGAAUUCAGGCACAAGUGUCUUUUACAGACACUAGAUCUCAAUGAGAAUCUUUUAGAAGGAAACAUCACAGAAUCUCUAGCCAAUUGCAAAGAGUUAGAGAUUUUAAACCUUGGGAACAACCAAAUUGAUGAUAUCUUUCCUUGCUGGUUGAAGAACAUAACCAAUUUGCGUGUCCUUGUUCUGCGAGGCAACAAAUUCCAUGGGCCCAUUGGGUGUCUCAGGAGCAAUUCCACCUGGGCAAUGCUUCAGAUAGUUGACCUAGCAGACAACAACUUUAGUGGUAAGUUGCCAGAAAAAUGCUUCUCGACCUGGACAGCAAUGAUGGCGGGUGAAAAUGAAGUCCAAUCCAAGCUCAAACACCUGCAAUUUAGGGUUCUACAAUUCAGUCAAUUGUACUAUCAGGAUGCUGUAACAGUUACCAGCAAAGGUCUAGAAAUGGAGUUGGUGAAGGUCCUAACUCUCUACACCUCUAUUGACUUGUCG
This 28728-nucleotide long non-coding RNA is filed under the name Vitis vinifera (wine grape). RNAcentral describes it as "long non-coding RNA (VVIN_LNC002451)". Lineage: Eukaryota; Viridiplantae; Streptophyta; Magnoliopsida; Vitales; Vitaceae. The record is from RNAcentral.